Molecule: long non-coding RNA, 1122 nt
Organism: Procambarus clarkii (red swamp crayfish)
Lineage: Eukaryota; Metazoa; Arthropoda; Malacostraca; Decapoda; Cambaridae
Source: RefSeq, a predicted model, not a curated record
CAGCGAGGCUGGUGGAGAGGGGGUAAGCACGUGGCGGGCAGCAGGUCAGUGAAGCUGGAGACGAAACAGCUGCUGCAGUAUAUAAGUCUGGGCAGGCGCCGGUAUAGUCACAUUCGGUCACAACUCUCUUCCAGUUCCAGUGUACCAACUCCACAACUCCAUGAUGAAGGUCUUUGUGUUGAUGGUCUUUCUGGUAGCAAUUGCAUCGGCCUUGCCGCAGGCAACGGAUGCAGCAGCGGCUCCUCCCGCAGAGGGUGCAGCAGGGGGUGCUACUACCCCAGCAGCUGGCGCAGGGGGUGCAGCAGGAGCUGGUGCUACCACAGCACCUGCCGCAGGGGGGGAAACCACUGCCGCAGGAGGAGGAGCAGGAGCUACUACAGCAGCAGCGUAAGGAUAACCUUGUAAUAAUACCACUAGAACCCAAGGGUAUGACUUAAGGCAACAAAAGCGAGUAUCUUUUUUUUUUUCUACAAACUCAAGUACACCGGCACUGUAUUGCUACUAUAUUCUAUAAGGUUAGAGUUUAGGUCAAAAGCUAGCCAUGUUCAGUUAUCAUUCCCUUCUGCUAGCCUGCUCUAUCAAAUGGCAUGUAAACUGUGGGAAAAUGUUCAUGUACAUACUUUAAAAUAAACAUUAAUUAAAAAGCUCCAGAUAUUUUACACCUGUGUGACAUGUUUAAUUGCCGGAUAUUGAGCAAUAUAGUGUUUGAGACAUGUCCUUGCUGCCUUUAACUUAUUAGUUCAUAUUAGGAGUGGUUAAGGUUUGGAGAUUGUUAUCUGAAGAUAACCUUCAACAAUUAUUAAUAUCCUAGCCUAAUCCUGGUAAUUACAAUGGCACACUUUGAUGGAACUGUUAUCCUUGCAUACAAAUUUCAGAUCGGAACAAUUCGCAAUUGUUACUGCUAUAGUGUUUUGUUAAGAAGUGUUUGUGAUUUCUUUCUUCUUAAACUUUCAGUAAUAUAGAGAUAGGAUUAUUAAUGAGCCUAAAUUAAUAUUCUGUUUGCUAUUUGCAUGCUGAGUAAAUGCUGCACACUUUUGUUUAACAUAAAUUUAUAUUGUAGUUAUUUAAAAAAAUAAACACUAUUGUAUUUUGUUUAAAUUUUAAAUAAAUAUUGGCAAAGUG